RNAcentral lists this ribosomal RNA (434 nucleotides) under uncultured Clostridiales Family XIV bacterium. Its description in RNAcentral is "bacterial SSU rRNA". It matches the Rfam family "Bacterial small subunit ribosomal RNA", at positions 341 to 792 of the family's 1533-position model. Lineage: Bacteria; Bacillati; Bacillota; Clostridia; Eubacteriales; Clostridiales Family XIV. Incertae Sedis. The record is from RNAcentral.
ACGGGAGGCAGCAGUGGGGAAUAUUGCACAAUGGGCGAAAGCCUGAUGCAGCGACGCCGCGUGAGUGAAGAAGUUAUUCGUAACGUAAAGCUCUAUCAGCAGGGAAGAAAAUGACGGUACUUGACUAAGAAGCCCCGGCUAACUACGUGCCAGCAGCCGCGGUAAUACGUAGGGGGCAAGCGUUAUCCGGAUUUACUGGGUGUAAAGGGAGCGUAGACGGCAUGGCAAGUCUGAAGUGAAAUCCCGGGGCUCAACCCUGGAACUGCUUUGGAAACUGUCAAGCUAGAGUGCAGGAGAGGUAAGCGGAAUUCCUAGUGUAGCGGUGAAAUGCGUAGAUAUUAGGAGGAACACCAGUGGCGAAGGCGGCUUACUGGACUGUAACUGACGUUGAGGCUCGAAGGCGUGGGGAGCAAACAGGAUUAGAUACCCUGGUA